CCUACGGGAGGCAGCAGUGGGGAAUAUUGGACAAUGGGGGAAACCCUGAUGCAGCGACGCCGCGUGAAUGAUGAAGGGCCUCGGCGCGGAAAGCCCUGUCAGCAGGGAAGAAAAGGACGGUACGUGAAGAAGAAUCCACGGCUAACUACGUGCCAGCAGCCGCGGUAAUACGUAGGGGGCAAGCGUUAUCCGGAUUUACUGGGUGUAAAGGGAGCGCAGGCGGCGCGGCAAGAGUGAUGUGAAAGCCCGCGGCGCAACCGCGGGACUGCAUUUGAAACUACCGGGCUGGAGUGCCGGAGAGGUAGGCGGAAUUCCUGGUGUAGCGGUGAAAUGCGUAGAUAUUAGGAGGAACACCAGUGGCGAAGGCGGCUUACUGGACUGCAACUGACACUGAGGCUCGAAAGUGUGGGUAUCAAACAGGAUUAGAUACCCUAGUAGUC
This 440-nucleotide ribosomal RNA is filed under the name uncultured bacterium. RNAcentral describes it as "partial 16S ribosomal RNA". It matches the Rfam family "Bacterial small subunit ribosomal RNA", at positions 338 to 795 of the family's 1533-position model. The record is from RNAcentral.